This is a long non-coding RNA of Drosophila kikkawai, 415 nucleotides long. RefSeq lists it as uncharacterized. NCBI's taxonomy places the organism in Eukaryota, Metazoa, Arthropoda, Insecta, Diptera, Drosophilidae. The record is from RefSeq and is a predicted model, not a curated record.
GGUUUCUCUAAAUAAAUGUGUUUAAAUCAUACGGACCUUGUUUCUACUGUCAAAACUUUUCAGUUUUACAAAUUGUUUGAAAAUCGCUUCUCUCUUAGUCUAUUUGUAACAGUGUAACUUACGAAGCAAUCCUAUCGUUUCCAAAUUACUUUUCGACUUGCAGUCAACAUGUUUCGCCCACUGACCACCGAGUCCAACAAGAGACACGACCACUCCAAGGAAGAGGUCCAUGCCAAUCUGGUGAUUUUUUUCCUUACUUGUGCUCUAAUCCGAUUUGUGCCGAUCAUCGCGAGAAAGAUAACUUCCUAGAGAUAUGAAAUUCACCACUAUUUCAUGUUGUAUGUGAGUGCUGAUAUGCAGGAUUAAUGGCUUUAAUCAACUUUGCGGGCUAAAAAUAAAAGUAAUCUAAAACAUA